GGUAAUCAAAUGGGCACUCAUGUUUGUCUGAGUAGCGAUGUGAUCCGCAGAAGAGGUUACCGCAGCGACAUUUAAAGCCAGUUAAUCCAACCCGUUUCUUGCAAGUGCUGCAUCGACUAGGACCUUCUUUGGCCUUUGUUUCAUCAGUUUCACCAGAGCCUGAAACAAUAGGUGAAGGCAGAGAUAUGAUCUUUGGCUCUGGAAGAUCAACUUGCAUACUCACAGUUCCUGCAGCAACAGGUUCUUUCUCACAGCCACUCGAUGACCCAUUUAUAAUAUUUUCAAUGGAUGUUGCUGCAAGUGUAGCCUGCUCUCGUUUCAUAAC
RNAcentral lists this long non-coding RNA (325 nucleotides) under Daucus carota (carrot). Its description in RNAcentral is "long non-coding RNA (DCAR_LNC003894)". The record is from RNAcentral. Lineage: Eukaryota; Viridiplantae; Streptophyta; Magnoliopsida; Apiales; Apiaceae.